RNAcentral lists this ribosomal RNA (201 nucleotides) under Triticum aestivum (bread wheat). RNAcentral's name for it is "partial small subunit ribosomal RNA". Lineage: Eukaryota; Viridiplantae; Streptophyta; Magnoliopsida; Poales; Poaceae. The record is from RNAcentral.
AUGGCAAAUAAUAGCAUCCUUCAGGUCUUCGUUGUUUUUCUCAUCGCGCAAGUUUGCUUACUGAUGAUGAUGGCAGCACCGGUAGCGCAGGCAGCCGGCAGGCUUAUGGGAUACAAUCCUGUUUGCUGCCCUAGGGACAUCUAUUGUUGUGGGUUCGGCGGCAUGAUUUCCAAUGGAACUGCAUCCUCCACCACUCCUUGA